UUUGGAGGGUGACAGCUCUGGCAAUUACCCAGCUGCUACCUUGUAACAUUUUUAUUUGAAAAUAAAAUAAAGAGGCAGUCUAGAGGAUCUACUGAUGAUGUGAAUACCUUUCAGUUACUGCUAAAAUUAUACAGGUGCAGCUCUUCAAAGCAAUCAACACAGAGGAAGAAAACAACCUGAAGUAUAUGAGAAUCUGAAAAUAACACUGGUAAAAUAAUAAUGAAAGAAGAUAUAAGAGAAAAAUAUGCCAUUAGAACAAAUAAUCACCGAAUUGGCUGAGUGGGGAGGGACCCUCAAGGAUCGUGUCCAACUCCUCCAGGAGCACAGGACCAUCCCCAAGUAUUAUUCCACGUGCCUGAGAGCAUUGUCCAAAGACUUCUUGAACUCUGUCAGGCUUGGUGCUGUGACCACCUCCCUGGGGAGCCUGUUCCAGUGCCCAACCACCCUCUGGGGGAAGAAUCCUUCUCUAAUAUGUAACCUAAACCUCUCCUGACACAACUUCAAGCCUUGGGUCUUUAAAGAUUCCUUUUUAAAACUAAUGUUAUUGUAAAUAUCUCUGCCUAAAUAUUUUUGCAGUUAAUGCAAAAGUGAGAAUUUCUGCUGAUUUAUCUUGUCUGUUUAAAAUGCUUUCCUACUUCUAUAAAAAAUACAAUACGAAAUCAGUAAUAUGCAUUUCUAGAGUUAGGAAAACUUUCUAAUUGUGAAAUCUACAUGAACUUAGCGAGAUUUAAAGAUAAAACAAAAUAAGUAGGACUAAUCUGAAAAAAUAUCAGAACUUUUAAUAAGGACAAAAUAAGUUUAUGCAGAGUAAGAGGUAAAAUGUCCAAUACCUCUACCCUUUCUCUCACUUCUUUUUUCUUUUUUGCCCUCCUGUUCCACUUUGGCACCAUCAUUUGCCAGAAGAAGCAAAGGAAAAAACCCCACUUUUCUUCUGUAUUUCAAGUUCUUGUUAUCACAGAGGUCUGGAAUGUUAAUUACAGAACUCAAUUAUCUCAAGUUAAAAUUCUAUUACCCACAUAGGAAAGAAAUGGAGUUGCCAAGGUGAAAUGAGCUAGGCAAAGUGAAGAGCAGAUGGGCUAUGGUGACAGGAUGGAUAUCGAGAGUAAUGGGUGGGAGCUUUAAUAUUUAAUUCUGUAUCUUGUAUGAAUGUAUUUUUAUACUCAUUUGACCAUUUUCUGAAUGUUUAAAAGAGUAGGAUGCUGGGUCCAUAUUUUUAAGACAAAAAAAAUUUCACGGUUAAAAAAGUCUGCAACAAAUUACAGGUAUCUGGGAAAUUAGAAUAAUUACCACACUCCAAGUAGUCUGAUUGUUGUUUUUUGCUUGUCUAAUGUGUCUCACAUCUUUUAGUUAUACUUCGAUACAUAUCUCACUCACUGGUUGUGCCAAACUUGUUUGCUAGUGAUAUUGCUUCACUUAUUUCUUUAAUCUUUUUCUAACUAAAAGAAGGAAAAUAGUUCAGCAGAUUUUGUCUCUGAAGAGUACACUGAAAAACCUACACAGUUUCUAACAUAAAAUCUUUGUAAAUAAUAUUUUUAUUAAGACAAUCCUUGACUGACUACUAAUAAAUUUCAAAUUUAUCAGUAACUUUCAUCUGUGUUAAGCUAUUAUUAGACUUAAGAUCUUUUCCCCCUUUUUUGAAAGAAAAGAAAACAGUAGGGAAGAAGAAAUAUUAUUAUCCUAGGCCUACAGCUUUCAGUUUAGGCUGUAAAUGUGGCUUGGGGCAAAGAGAAUAGAUGCCAUUAUGGGAUUGAAGGUCAUAGUUUCUGGAAGUAGUUUCUUAAAAGAUAAGGAAAGAGACACAUGCCAAUAUUUUGUUCUAUCAGUCUUGGAACUGCUGAUGGGACAGAAUAUACUAUUUUCAAAAAACACCUAAUUGAUGUAGGAGCAGUUUUUCUGAAGUUAAUGGAACUUUAUUUCAGGGAACAUUGAUGGAAAUGUGAUUGUCUGAUCUAUUCAACAUUUUAUAAGCCCUAUUUUUAAAUUCUUUGUAAAUUAAUCUGUGAAGUUCUGAAGCCACAAACUUCAGAAUGCAUUAACCCAAGAAUAUUCCCUUCCUUAACUCCAUAGGACAAGUUUCAUUAGUAAUUAUAAUUAAAAUUCUCUAAAAUGAUUGAAACAGAGUUAUUGUUUUGACAUAUUUAACAAGAGUAGUUUUCAAAAAAACUUAGUAACUAUGUGUUUCAGUAAAGGUGGAGCCUCUU
Prinia subflava (tawny-flanked prinia) is the source of this 2201-nucleotide long non-coding RNA. RefSeq lists it as uncharacterized. The record is from RefSeq and is a predicted model, not a curated record. Lineage: Eukaryota; Metazoa; Chordata; Aves; Passeriformes; Cisticolidae. The transcript has 3 exons.